This is a long non-coding RNA of Mytilus californianus (California mussel), 1290 nucleotides long. RefSeq lists it as uncharacterized. Lineage: Eukaryota; Metazoa; Mollusca; Bivalvia; Mytilida; Mytilidae. The transcript is spliced from 3 exons. The record is from RefSeq and is a predicted model, not a curated record.
UUUUAUAAAAUUCUUAUUAUUCAAUUGAAUUUUUUAUUUUGUUAAAAGAGAGCAAGGUGAAAAAUUGUGUUUAAUCCUUCAAAAAAUGUUUAUUUAUAUUUUUUAAAUGGAAAUUAAAAUUCCUUUUGAUUUAUUUUGAAAUAUUGAUGAUAUAUUUAAGAUUUUACAUGUAGCAAAUUUAUUUAUAGUCAUUUACUUACCAUCACAAACAUAUUACUGACUAAAUGUAUCAAACUAAAGCCAAUCACUUAAGAUGUUCUGCGAUUGAUGAAGUCCAAAGAGGGUGAAAUUGGGGCAAGGGGAGGUAAUAGUAAUGUUUAACUAAUCCUUCAGUGUAGGCAAUAACCAGACAUUUUGUUAAUCAACAUAAUUAAUGAUAUUUGUAUAUUUUUUUUACAUAUCAGAUGUUUGCUAAGCUAUUAUUUAGAGCUCUGUAAAUAAAAAAAAGUGUAAACAAAGUUCUAAAUAAUAGAUUUUUACCAGUGGUGGAACCUGGAUUUCUGAAAAGAGGGUUGUUGGGGGAGUAAUUCCAUAGAAGAGAAGAAUAUUUUUUUUGAUGAUUUUUUACUAAAAAUUGAUGUUUAUUCCAAUCAAAAGAGAGACAUACACCCUAUAAGCCACCCCCUGAAUCCACCACUGUUUGCUGUGGGAGAAAUUAUUUGGUCUCUACUAUUAUUGGGUAAAUUUUCAAAAAAUGUGAUCAGUUGAAAGUGCAUACAUCUGAUAUUUUUGAAGAACUGUAUUUCUAGAAAUAAAUGGAAAACAAAUACAUUGACAAGUGAUAAAAUGAACUGUUUUGAACAAAAAUAACCUGGGAGACUUUUAUGAACUAGUGUCUUAAAGUUUUGACAAAACUCAUAGAAGAGGAGGACAUUCAUUCACUGACAUUGAUACGGGGAAAGCCAUCUUGGCAGCCAGGAUAGCAGCUCUUUGGAAAUGGUCAAUAAAAUCAACCAAGUCUAAGGCUUUACCAGGAAAUGUUUGUGGUUAGCAUCACAGCUUGUCCUUAGGGGUACUGGCUGGGGUAGCAAUUGGAUAUGCUUCGAGGUGUGUUCCUGCUGCUGCCUUGUGUGGUCAAUCCUGUGGACAAUAAUAAUCAUAUAUUGCUUUUUUGUUUAAUAAGAUUAAUGAUAAUUCUGAAAGCCAAAUGAUUCUUUUUUUAAUGCUGUAAUUUUUUUCCAAUUCUGUAAAAUUCACAAUUUUUUUUAAUGCAGUUAUUUAUUUUCCAUUUACUGUAAAUUCACAAAUUUUUGUUUUUAAAUGCUGUUAUUUAUUUUCAUAUUACUGAAA